CCCCUCUCAGGGUCGCACCUGGAGAUUUUCCAGUACUCUACCAGGCUUGACUAUGGGAGGGAGAGUCAAGCAGAGGCCUACCCAUUCCAUUCUAGCUUGGCCAGUGGCUAGCGAGUGGAAGGCAAUUUGCUACAAGU
This is a non-coding RNA of Ornithorhynchus anatinus (platypus), 137 nucleotides long. The record is from Rfam. Lineage: Eukaryota; Metazoa; Chordata; Mammalia; Monotremata; Ornithorhynchidae.